Capsicum annuum is the source of this 1879-nucleotide long non-coding RNA. RefSeq lists it as uncharacterized. The record is from RefSeq and is a predicted model, not a curated record. Lineage: Eukaryota; Viridiplantae; Streptophyta; Magnoliopsida; Solanales; Solanaceae. The transcript is spliced from 5 exons.
CGGGUCUUUCUCUUUUCCUUAAUCGUUCUCUGUCCUGAAAAAAAUUACGUUCUAGGUUCACUGUGGCUGCUGCUUGCAUUCAAUCAAAAGGGAAAAGAUCCAUUGUCACAAUAAGGUUCAUUACGACUGCAUAUGGUAUAAAUUGCUUAUUGGAUUCAAAAAUCUUUGGUGGUGACUCGAGCUUCAUUUGCUAUAGUUGAUAAGAAAACAUCAAGGACUUGGACAUGAUUUCUACAACUGCUAGAGAAGUCAUUGACUCUGAAAAAUGGUGAAAGUGUCACUUUCAUGUCUGACAUGCAGAAGGGACUGGUAGAUACAGUGAAAAAUGUCCUUCCUUUAGCCCACCACAGAGGUUUAGGUCAGGAGAGAUAAAGAAACUGCUUUGGUUGGCUUUUUGGAGUACCUAUGAAGAAGAUUUCAAGGACCAGUUGGAGCAUUAUCAGAGGAAGCUGUCAAAGACUUAUUAAAAUUCAAUCUAGUGAGAUGGUGCAGGGCAUAUAUGGGGACACUGUUUGGAAAAAUUAGAAGGUGGAUAAUAAUUUCACUGAGUCCUUCAACUCUUAGAUAUUGGAGCCAAGUAGAAAGCCAAUCUUGAAGAUGCUUGAAGAAAUAAGAGUUAAGAUAAUAAAUAGAUUGAAAGAGAAAGAAAAUAAGGUUAGAAGAUAGAAGGAAAAUUUUAGUCAUAAGUGCUUGGAAUUGUUCACUGCCAAUAAGAAGAUUGCUCAUUUUUGUACUGUUAACUUCAAUGGUGAUAUUGGUUAUGAAGUGUUUGAAAGUGAAGAUAGGCACAUAGUGAACUUGGUGGAGAAGAAAUGCACUUGUAGGUCUUGGUAGCUGAUUGGAAUUCCAUGCCCUCAUGCCAUCAAGGCUAUGUAGUAUAAAAAAAUGAAACCUGAUCUUAUGAAAAAAGAGAUAAGGGUAUGAUAUAAUAAGGAAGCUUACUUGAAUACAUACAAGGUCAAGUUGCUGCUUAUAAGAGGUGAAAACUUUUGGAAGAUUUUGACAGAACAUGCAAUAGAUCCACCAGAUUUAGUAACGACUGUUGGAAGGACAAAAAUCAAAAGAACAAGAGAAAAAGAUGCAGCAAUUAAAAGAGAAGGAGAAUGGGCUCACUCAAGAAAGAAAACUAGAAUGACUUGUAGUAAGUGUGGUUCAGUAACACAUAAUGCAAAGACAUGCAAGUUUGCUGAAGAUGAACAAGGGGAGAGAUUGAAGAGAAGAAGGGGCAGAACUAAAAAGAAAGAAAUUCAAGAAGAUGUGUAUGGCAUUAAUAGUUCAGACCCUCAACCAACACAAGAAGGAGAGGACCACCGCGAUGAACCAUUUGGUCCUGCUAGUGAACCCGAAAGUGAUCCAGAUUUAAAGCCUCAAAUUAUUCCUGAAGAUACAAGGUUAUUGGUAAGGCAAACUAGCAGCGGAGGGGGUGUUGGCAAUUGUGCUUGAAAUUGGAAAGCCUUUGAAUGGAUCCCAUAAGUCGAGGGAGAGUGGGUUGAAGAUGUUGCUCCUAUGACCACCGAAGAAGCUUGGAAUCAGAGACAUUCUUGGGACUUUGUUGUCUGAAGAAAACAAAAGAUGGAUUAUAAAGCUUGAAUUUUUCUUUAAUAGUAGUGUUUAAUCAGGUGAUAUGAAUAAGAGAAAAUGUUGUGCUAUUUAUAGGCGAUGAAUCGAUAACAAGGUCAUUUUUUAUGUGCAUUAGACAACUUGUAAUGACAAGACAACUUGAUAACUCCCUUCUGUAACAUCCAAAUAACAAUUUUCCUGUGUGCAGAGUCAAACUCCAUUGAUGUUUGUUGUAUGACCAUUACCCAGAACUUAUAAUCUCUAAAAUAGAAUAGCUAUCCAUGUGAAGAUAACAAUCAUUUAUAUAAGAAAGAUAAAC